RNAcentral lists this long non-coding RNA (3100 nucleotides) under Cricetulus griseus (Chinese hamster). RNAcentral describes it as "lncRNA (ENSCGRG00015043229.1)". Lineage: Eukaryota; Metazoa; Chordata; Mammalia; Rodentia; Cricetidae. The record is from RNAcentral.
CUACUUGUUAGACUGGAGCUGAGGCCUAAGCCACGCCCUCAGCCAGCCCCUCACUGAGGUUUCUAGGGGUGGGGGUGCCUGGCUCUACGGCUUAGCCCUGUAGCCAGCCCCUCACGGGGUUUCUAGGCGGGGCUGCACCUCUGAGCCACACCUCCAGCCCCUCACUGGGAGAAUCUUGGCGUGUACGGCUGCAUACCGUGUGCAUGUACCGUGGCGUCUCCAGAAGAAGGUUUGCGAUCCCCUGGAACUGGAGUUACAGACAGUUGUGAACUUUCCUGUGGGUGCUGAGAACCAAACCAGGGAACGAGGUGGGAAGAAGUGAUUCCUGUCACCUACAGGCCCGGCUGGAACCCAACAUCCCAGCACCACAAAUCCCUCAACUUCCCCCUUCCCUUUGACAUCCCAACCCCUCUGCCCAGUCCCCCAACCCCCCAUGCCCCCACACCCCCACCCUGUCUCAGCACAGCAAUGGCUCUGCUUGUUGGAUGAUGGAAGAAAUUCCAGCAAGUCCAAGCAACUCAAGGUGCAUGUUGCUGACUCGAGGGCUGGAAAAACCUGCUGGGGAUGUUUGUGGCCCAGUUUUCUGAGUCUGGAGGUCUGGAUGUGACCUCCCAUUUGUCAUUGCUCUGGUGGCUCCUUAGGCAUCUUCUGCCUUGAAGAGUUACAGGAUCGGGAAAGACGAAGCAGGGAGCCUGCUCCCUGCGUUUGUGGUUUUCUUUUUGGACAGGGUUUCAUGUGGUGUGGGCUGGCUCACGGACAUGCAGCCUGUCUGCUCUUCCUGCCUCUGUCUCCCUGGGCUAGAGAGUGAAACCUUGUCUCAGGACCAGAAGUCUCAUCACUGCAAAGAAGCUGAAAGAGCUUUUUCCUGUAUGUAUGGCUGUGUACCAUGUGAAUGCCUGGUGUCUUUGGUGGCCAGAGGAAGGUGUUGAAUCCCCCUGGAACUGGAGUUACAGACAGUUGUGAAUUACCAUGGUUUCUCUGUAGCUCUGUCUGUCCUGGAACUCACUUUGAAGAUCAGGCUGGCCUUGAACUCACAGAGAUUCACUUGCCUCUGCCUCCUGAGGGCUGGGAAUGACUCUCUCUCUCUUGAGACUGGAAGUAAUGUACUCCAGGCUGGCCUUAAACUCAUGACAAUCCUCCUGCCUCAGCCUCAUGAGUACUGAGAUGAAGGUUAUGCACUACCAUUUCCAGCUUGAAGGACAAAAUGCUGAAACCCAGCUUAGCCAGGCUCUGACCUCCUGUUGUGGACAGCUCACUGCAGUGCCAUUUACCACAAACUGCCCAGAAAUUACCUUGGAUGAUGGGGGUGGGGUUCCUGACCCAAGAAUGUCACACUGCUGGGGAUAGGAAAGAAACCUUGUCCAGUAUUCUGUAACAAGUCUGGUGAGGUUGCCAACCACAAUGGAUAGCACAUAGAUGGCAACUUCCUGGCAGGAAAAGGACUUGGGGACUUGCAAUUAUGGGUUUCAUGCCAGACUAGUAGAUUUCCUCACAAAGGCUAAAUAUGGCCCAGGGGCUGAACCUUCCAGAAUCAUCCUAGCCAUGUGGUCACUACAGUCUGUCUAAUCUCAGCUCUGAUGCUGCUGUGUCAGAGGAUAUCUGGCAAUAGCUGCCUUUUCUUUGGGGGACGCAGCUGGGUUGUCCUUUGUCAUCUACUUGGAGAAGUUGAUUCGGUGGCUAGCGGACAGUCCCCACAGAUGACUCACACACCAGCCUUGGCAUAUGCAAUGUAUUUCUAAUUAAAACAUUUGCUAUUUUAUUUUAAACAAGUUGCAAACGGCACUUGGGGAGAAGAUAUUUGGCAGAGCACGAUAAACAGAACUCAGGUGCAGAAUAUACAAAAACCACUGAGAAAUCACUGAUGUGACUAUCGUCAGAGAGAAGGGGACAGGGGCUCAUGCCUGUCACUCAGAAGCCUCAGAAGGCUGAGGAGCAAGGGAUAGGAGUGUGGGGCCGUCCUGGUCUGCAGAGUUAGUGUAAAGCCAGCCUGGUCUGGUUUCUAUGAAACUGUCUCUAAAAGCUAUGGAUGACCCAGAGCAAAGGGCACUCCCACACACUGAUGUCCAGAGGCUGAUGUAGCCAUGGUUUCUUUUUGUUGUGGAUUUCUGUCACUCCACAGAAAGCCUGGUUCUCAGAGGCAGUGACCACUGUGGUAGUCUGAAUAUAACUGGCCCCCAUAAUCUCAUAGAGAGUGACAGUAUUCAGAGCUGUGGCUUUGUUGGAGUAGGUGCGGCCUUGUUGGAGGAAGUGUGUUACUGUGGGGGUGAGUUUUGAGGUCUCAUAUAUGCUCAAGCCAUACCCAGUGUCUUAGACCAUUUCCUGUUGCCCGAAUAUCAAGACACUCCCAUGCUCCCUGACCGAUAAUGGACUUAGCCUCUGAAAUGUACGUGGGCCAUCCCAAUGAAAUGUUUUCCCUUAUAAGAGUUGCCGUGGUCAUGGUGUCUCUUCAGAGCAAUAGGAACCCUAACUAAGACACUCCCCAAACCUACAAUACUCUGAAAAUGAGAAAACUCCCUUCUGUCCCUGGAAAGGAUCCAGGUAGAAGGCACCAACACUACAAGACUCAAAUGGCACCUUCCAGUCAGGUAUGUGGGAAGAAGGCCCAGGCUGCAGGUGACAGGAAGAGGGGAACCAGGGGGUGUGGCUCAGCUGUCAAUGAGCAGUUAUUAUUUCAAUCUUUAAAAAUCUUGCUGGCCAGGCGGUGGUGGCACAUGCCUUUAAUCCCAGCACUCGGGAGACAGAGGCAGGUGGACCUCUGUGAGUUUGAGGUCUACAGAGUGAGUUCCAGGACAGGCUCCAAAGCGACAGAGAAACCCUGUCAACAAAACAACACAACACAGAAAGCUGGCAAAGGAGAUGGCUCAGGGUUAAGAGCACUGGCUGAUCUGGCUUCAGUUCCCCACAGGACCAAAGGAAAAGUAAAAUUCAAGAACAACAAAAAUUGACCAGGCAGUUGGUGGCACACGCCUUUAAUCCCAGCACUCAGGAGGCAGAGGCAGGCGGAUCUCUGUGAGUUUGAGGCCAGCCUGGUCUACAGAGCGAGUGCCAGGACAACCUCCAAAGCCACAGAGAAACCCUGUCUUGUAACAAACAAACAAAC